UAUGUUCCUUGGGAACAGGACGUCACAGAGGGUGAGAAUCCCGUGCGAUGGGGUGUCCAAUUCUAUGUAGAGUGCUUCGAAGAGUCGAGUGUGGGAAUGCAGCUCUAAGUGGGUGGUAAAUUCCAUCUAAAGCUAAAUAUGGCGAGAGACCGAUAGCGAACAAGUACAGUGAUGGAAAGAUGAAAAGAACUUUGAAAAGAGAGUGAAAAAGUACGUGAAAUUGUUGAAAGGGAAGGGCUUGAGAUCAGACUCGGUAUUUUGCGAUCCUAUCCUUCGUGGAGAGGUUUCACUUGCAGCUUACCGGGCCAGCAUCGGUUUGGAUGGUAGAUAAUGACUUGGAAAUGUGGCUUUUCGGGAGUGUUAUUAGCCUUUGUUGAUACUGCUAUCUUGA
This 391-nucleotide ribosomal RNA is filed under the name Kurtzmaniella natalensis. RNAcentral's name for it is "eukaryotic LSU rRNA". It matches the Rfam family "Eukaryotic large subunit ribosomal RNA", at positions 182 to 575 of the family's 3401-position model. The record is from RNAcentral. Lineage: Eukaryota; Fungi; Ascomycota; Pichiomycetes; Serinales; Debaryomycetaceae.